CGUAAUCAUUUGUCUUUUAAAUGAAGACCAGUAUGAAUGGCAUAACGAGGGCCAAGCUGUCUCCUUUUUCCAGUCAAUGAAAUUGAUCCCCCUGUGCAGAAGCAGGGACACAAACAUAAGACGAGAAGACCCUAUGGAGCUUAAGACACAAGACAGUUCAUGUUAAAAGACCAUAUUAAUGGAAAGAACCAAAUGACCCCUGUCCUUUUGUCUUUGGUUGGGGCGACCAUGGAGUAACAAAAAACCCCCAUGUGGAACAGGGCCCAGGCCCUUAAAGCUAGAGCCACAGCUCUAACAAACAGAACAUCUGACCUUCAAGAUCCGGCAAGACCGAUCAACGGACCGAGUUACCCUAGGGAUAACAGCGCAAUCCCCUUUUAGAGCCCAUAUCGACAAGGGGGUUUACGACCUCGAUGUUGGAUCAGGACACCCUAAUGGUGCAGCCGCUAUUAAGGGUUCGUUUGUUCAACGAUU
This 474-nucleotide ribosomal RNA is filed under the name Periophthalmus argentilineatus (barred mudskipper). Its description in RNAcentral is "partial 16S ribosomal RNA". It matches the Rfam family "Bacterial large subunit ribosomal RNA", at positions 1960 to 2589 of the family's 2925-position model. The record is from RNAcentral. Lineage: Eukaryota; Metazoa; Chordata; Actinopteri; Gobiiformes; Gobiidae.